Long non-coding RNA from Chinchilla lanigera (long-tailed chinchilla), 287 nucleotides. RefSeq lists it as uncharacterized. The transcript is spliced from 3 exons. The record is from RefSeq and is a predicted model, not a curated record. NCBI's taxonomy places the organism in Eukaryota, Metazoa, Chordata, Mammalia, Rodentia, Chinchillidae.
UCAGCCUCUCACCCUUGAAUAGCUGCCAAAUGGCUUGGUUUAUAUGGCCUUGUAAAGUCCAGCUCCGUGCAGAGACAGCUGAGGUGGUGUGAAAGGCAGUUGUGGCCACACAGGCGGAUUAAAGAUGGAUUGCUGCAAAACUGCGCACCAGCUUCCUUACCAUGCCUCCAUCCCAGGCGGGCUAUACCCAUCCAAGGUCAUUACUGUGUCAGGCAUUGUCCUGGAAAAUGCUCAGAGGUUCAGCAUCAACCUGUGCACCGAGAGUGACAUCGCCUUCAACCUGAACC